GAGUUCCUCAGUAUUACUGUAAAAUACAGUAAAGGGAGCAGAUAAAAUUUACCAUCAUUUAUAUAUGUGGGGCUAUGCAAGUAAAAUGAUUACUAAAACCAGAAGAGGAAGGUAGUACAAGAACCUAGGUCUUUUGCUUCUAAAGGUCAGUUUAAUUUCUCUUCAGUCACAACAAUUAAUGAGCAUUUUGCCAUUUGUUCGGUACCAUUAAUUUGAUAGCCUUUUCAAACGAAUGUGAAUGGGUUUGUAUCUCUUACUGGUUGUUUUGUAUUUGUAGGCAGCUGGGAUUAAUUAGGACAAAGUCAAUUGCACCAGCAAAUGAGAGUCUAAGCAGAAGCAAAUCCAAGCAAUUAUAUGACUACUUAAUUGUUAUUGAUUUUGAGUCUACUUGCUGGAAUGAUGGGAAGCAUCACAAUAGCCAAGAAAUAAUUGAAUUUCCAGCGGUAUUACUGAAUACAUCAACUGGAGAGAUUGAAUCUGAAUUCCAUGCUUAUGUUCAGCCCCAAGAACACCCAAUUCUUUCUGAAUUUUGCAUGGAACUGACUGGCAUAAAGCAGGUAUGAUCACAAAUUCAGUAAUAAAUUUCAAAGUGAAAAUAAAAGUUAUAUACAUUUGGAAUUAGACUUAUUUAGUGUUAGGAGAAAAGUGUUCCCCUCCAGAAAUCCACAGGAAUUUUUAAAAUCAGAAAAUAUAGUGUUAGAAACACGAAGACCAGGCCUGGGGUGUAUAGCUCAGUGCUAAAGAGUUUGCCUAAAAUGUCUGAAGCCCCGGGUUUGGUCCUCCAGCAUUGCAGAAAAAAAAAAAAAAAAGAUCAAAUUUAUUUUAUGGAAAUCAAAUGAUUUAAAUUUAUCUUCUAUUUCCGUUAGUCUGUACCAGUGAUCGUGAACCUUCAGUGAUAACAGACAGCCUGCUGUGGCACAUGUGCCGUAGGUUCACCAUCAUUGAUCUAUAUGAUCGUAUUUGUGUGAUG
This is a long non-coding RNA of Fukomys damarensis (Damara mole-rat), 970 nucleotides long. RefSeq lists it as uncharacterized. The record is from RefSeq and is a predicted model, not a curated record. The transcript is spliced from 3 exons. Lineage: Eukaryota; Metazoa; Chordata; Mammalia; Rodentia; Bathyergidae.